GCGGGAAUAGCCUGUGCUGGUAGAGCACGACCUGCUGGCGUCGGGGUCGCGAGUCUGAGCCCGUUUCCCGCUCCA
Molecule: transfer RNA, 75 nt
Filed under: Salmonella enterica subsp. enterica
Lineage: Bacteria; Pseudomonadati; Pseudomonadota; Gammaproteobacteria; Enterobacterales; Enterobacteriaceae
Description: tRNA-Ala
Source: RNAcentral